Molecule: ribosomal RNA, 434 nt
Filed under: uncultured bacterium
Lineage: Bacteria
Description: partial 16S ribosomal RNA
Rfam family: Bacterial small subunit ribosomal RNA
Source: RNAcentral
AACGAACGCUGGCGGCAGGCCUAACACAUGCAAGUCGAGCGAGCAUUUCGGUGCUAGCGGCGGACGGGUGAGUAACGCGUGGGAACGUGCCCUUUUCUGCGGAAUAGUCCUGGGAAACUGGGGGUAAUACCGCAUACGCCCUUUUGGGGAAAGAUUUAUCGGAGAAGGAUCGGCCCGCGUUGGAUUAGGUAGUUGGUGGGGUAAUGGCCCACCAAGCCGACGAUCCAUAGCUGGUUUGAGAGGAUGAUCAGCCACACUGGGACUGAGACACGGCCCAGACUCCUACGGGAGGCAGCAGUGGGGAAUCUUAGACAAUGGGGGCAACCCUGAUCUAGCCAUGCCGCGUGAGUGAUGAAGGCCUUAGGGUUGUAAAGCUCUUUCAGCUGGGAAGAUAAUGACGGUACCAGCAGAAGAAGCCCCGGCUAACUCCGUGC